GGGCCCGCACAAGCAGCGGAGCGUGUGGUUUAAUUCGAUGUUACACGAAGAACCUUACAGGGUUUGACAUGCAAGUGGUAGGAAGCCGAAAGGUGACCGACCCUUCGGGGAGCUUGCACAGGUGCUGCAUGGCUGUCGUCAGCUCGUGUCGUGAGAUGUUCGGUUAAGUCCGCUAACGAGCGCAACCCUCGCUGUGUGUUAUAUGUGUCACACGGGACUGCCGGUCUUAAGCCGGAGGAAGGUGGGGAUGAUGUCAAGUCAGCAUGGCCUUUAUAUCCUGGGCUACACACACGCUACAAUGGCCAACACAAUAGGUUGCUAAGCCGCGAGGUGGCGCCAAUCCAUAAAGUUGGUCUCAGUUCAGAUUGUAGGCUGCAACCCGCCUGCAUGAAGAUGGAGUUGCUAGUAACCGCAGGUCAGCUAUACUGCGGUGAAUACGUUCCCGGGGCUU
This 451-nucleotide ribosomal RNA is filed under the name uncultured Leptolinea sp. RNAcentral describes it as "bacterial SSU rRNA". It matches the Rfam family "Bacterial small subunit ribosomal RNA", at positions 917 to 1382 of the family's 1533-position model. Lineage: Bacteria; Bacillati; Chloroflexota; Anaerolineae; Anaerolineales; Anaerolineaceae. The record is from RNAcentral.